GAGAGAAAAGGAUGGCAGAUUCCAUAGCAAAAGAUGUAAGUUGGAUCCUUUCCAGCUUAAGAGACUGCUCAAAGUCAUUGCCAUGUAGAACAUGUUAAAGUAACCCAUUCUGGAUGCAACUAAGGCAUGUAUUAUCAUGGACAACUAUGCCUUUUUGAGGAAUGCACAUAGCUGACACAUCAGCUGAAACAGGGCAAAAGCAGCAGUGGACAUCCAGAUGUCGGGUUCAGGAGUACAGUGGUACCUCGGGUUAAGUACUUAAUUCAUUCCGGAGGUCUGUUCUUAACCUGAAACUGUUCUUAACCUGAAGCACCACUUUAGCUAAUGGGGCCUCCUGUUGCUGCUGCGCCGUUGGAGCACAAUUUCUGUUCUCAUCCUGAAGCAAAGUUCUUAACCCGAGGUAAUAUUUCUGGGUUAGCAGAGUCUGUAACCUGAAGUGUAUGUAACCUGAAGUGUAUGUAACUCGAGGUACCACUGUAUUCAGAAGCAACAAAGCUGAUUUUUUAAAUCAACGAUAUGACUAUGCCAGGCCAAACCAGUUGCAGUACUGUUUCUGCAUCAGACCCCCCGCCCCAAUCUCAGUGUUGUCUAGAUUGAGCUUCAGUUUAUUAGUGCUCAUCAAAUCCCUUGUAACCUCCAAGCACCGAUUGAGAACAUCAACGGUUUUCCUGGAAUCAGAUGGAAAGGACAAAGCAAUGAGUCACCCACAUUCUAGACACUUUAUAGACCCUUAGAAGCACGUACGGAAUGAACCGAGUGAUCCGCAGUGUAAAUACCCUUGUGUUUUUCAAGGUUCAGCAUGAGGAAAUCCAGUAUCAAAAAGAAUUUAAUUAAAAUAAACACCUGAAGGGCCCAGUGCAGUCUCUGAGUCUUGUCUUAAUGAACUUGGACAAAGCUGCACAAAAUAGAAUAACAAGGCUGAAAAUAGCUAUACAAAUUUAAUAUUCCGCCCUCUUCCCCACUAGUUUACAUAAGAAGCUGGAUGACUGCUGGGGUCAUGCAAAGCAGAUGUUAUCAGAGGUUCUCUGAGGGUGGGAAACAUGGCAAGGGUCACAUUUGAACCCAUGCCCUUAAAAUGGAUUGUUAUCUGAAAACUGCCAACUACAGAAUUGAUAGGAAGAUUUGAGAGACAGCUAACUUAUUCUUCAAGCUGAAGGCUUGAGAUUUAUACACAGACAUAUGCAUGCUUAUACAACAAAAAAGGACUACCAUUAUCUCCUGUCAAAUAAAAUCUCCUGGCAAAUCACUAAGGCCGAUGGAAAGUUGACACUUAUCACAAUAUAAUAUAGGAGAAGAGAUAUCAAGGUCAUCAAAUCCAAAUGUUUGUUUCAAGGCUUCCCCACUUAACCAGGGUUUACAGUUGUAAAUGGGGAUGAUAGCACUCUUAGUUUCUGUGGUGUGUCCACAUUAAUUUAUUUUGUACUGCUGUGAAAUCUGGUCAAUCAUGUGUUGCAAGUUUUUGUUGCAAUGUGAAUUCUGAAAAAGCUGUGAACAGAGACAAUGCAGUACCUCGGGUUACUGACACUUCAGGUUACAGACACUUCAGGUUACAGACUCUGCUAACCCAGAAAUAGUACCUCGGGUUAAGAACUUUGCUUCAGGAUGAGAACAGAAAUCGUGCGGUGGCAGCGGGAGGCCCCAUUAGCUAAAGUGGCACCUCAGGUUAAGAACAGUUUCAGGUUAAGAACGGACCUCCAGAACGAAUUAAGUUCAUAACCCGAGGUACCACUGUAGUGAGCUUAAUGUACACAGCAAAGCAAAAAAAAUUAAAAUGUCUUUCAUAUCAAUUUUGGCUCUAUGUCUCUAGCACUACAUAAAUUCUAAACACAGAGAGCAGCAAGAUAGUUUGCAAUACAAACUGUAUACAGAGUGUUUAUAAAUUAUCCUAAAGUUCUGCAUGCCAGGAAACCAACCAGACAACACUCUUUUGACGAAUCAUUUGCUUAUUAAUGAUAGACAGUGCUAGAUCAACUGGUGAGGCUGAUGACCACCUUGUUUGUUACAGAAACUGUACAUUUAUACUUCUUGCCUCUGCAAUAACCACCAUAACAGAGAGAGGAAGAAUGUGUAUCUGAAAGCGUGAUAAGCACAUGCCAGGGAGCAGCGAUUACCAUUAAGGAUGUUGGGCUUGUAUUUACUAUACGUUUUCAGACAUUUGCUUCCUCUCUACAUGUUAAUAAUGUAUGAUGUGGAGACAAGCAGUGGGCAAACGGGAAAUUGUUUUUCCUUAAUUAUGGAUUGCACCACAAGGGUGAAGAGUUAUUAGAAUGGCCAUUUUUUUUCCUUUUUGGGGGCGGGGGCGGGGAAGGCCAAAUAGGUAAUUGCUGACAGAAUAGAUGUGGAAACCUUGCCUUUGUGUGAGUGUGAGGGGUGAUUUAUUUAUUUAUUUAAUGCGUUCAUGCCCUAUAUUUCUCUCCAAUCAAGAUCUGUUGAGGGGGCAGCGCAAUGAGAAGGAUAGAGAUGUAUGGAUGAAGUGAUAUAGACAAAGUGAUAUAUAAAAGUUGACUGCUGGAAUUUAAUCUUUCAAGACUGCUUUAUUUUGUUGUUGUUACUGAGACACAGAUCUCUUAAUAGGGAGCAGUCUUGUCCAAAUCUAUCAACACAAGCAACGACUUUAGAGUUAUUUUAGCAUUUUUAAAAAAAUUAUGUAGUAAAUCAUAGCUAAGGUCUUUGAACUAUUUUUUAUUUUUGGACAGAUUGUGAGUAAAGAAAAGGGGAAAAAACAACAACCCAACAUUCUGGCUUUGCAGAAUGUCUUGAGCUCUGUAGUUGCAUACUCAGCAAUUCUGCUCUGUUUAUAAAUAAUGCCAUAAAGACCUGAGCUCUUAUGAGGUGGUGGACACAUCCAGAAGAUUCAUAUGACUUAUCUUAAUAAUUUCAAAAGACGUUUCGUAACAACAGUUUCAUAUUUUCAAUCAGGGGAUACUUUAAAUGUUGGGACUGGAGUAGGGUAUGUUGAUAGGGUUUUUCUUCAUCAGUUCCUUUUUGAGCCAAACUGCAUUUUGUGCAGGAAAAGCACAAUCAGAAUCCUUCCUUUUUCUUUUUCUUUUUACCAAAAUGCAGCUGCAAGAGGGCAGCCAGUUUCUUUAGACUGUUUAACCAUUCCCCAGUGCCGUAUUCUUGAUCAGAAUGGUCCCUGAAGCUAUUGCAUACCCCAACUGAGAAGAUACAGAUACCUGUAUAAUCAGAUUUCCCAUGUAAUGUGCUGAAAGCUGCUGUAUUUAUCAGUCAGUUGCUUGGGAAAGGAAGAAAAGAUAUAUUAUAUACAGUCAUUGUCAGGCAUUUUGGGCCAGGUAGGUAAGUGAAAACAGAUGUGGAUUCAUCGUAGAUUCUAGCAGGUGCACCUGGGGCCCUCACAUGAGACCCUAGAAGAUCCUGUUGACAACACAAAAUUCUCUACUUCUUCAGAUUACUGCUUUCUUCUUCUUCAGGUUACUGCUGUUUUUUAAAAAAAUUAGCCAACAAUAUGAGCCAAAGAAAGGACAAUUAUGUAAGAUAUUGGCAUUACGAGAGGUGUUCAACAUUAAUGGUAUGUAACAAAAUACAACAAAGGCUCUAACUAAGUGUCUGUAGCCACAAAGAUUCAAAACAUAAUGCUCUUAGCAAAGAAAAAGAGUCCUUGUGUCUAUAGUCAACUGUGCAUGUCAAUGUACAGCUCAAAACAUCUGUGACAAAUGCACUGUUUUAAUCAGUGCUGGCUCUGGAAAGCCUAGAUUCUCAGUCACCAAUGUACUGAUCCAAUCUACUGUGGGUUCUUGAAGAUGUAUAAUCUCAGGCUGAUUCCAUCGGGAGGCUGGUCCAACAGCAUAUUAUGGUUCAUCUUUUUUCAUUAAAUGCAUUAUCUCUGGUGGUCAUCAGUAAAAUGAUUUAGUCAUGUCAUCAGUGCUCAGUUUACUGAGGUUUCUUUCUGCUAACCACUGGGAGUUAGCGGUUUACUUUCUUUGGCUCUUCCUGAGCCAAAGAGUGACUGAACUAUUAAGUGGUACUUUCCCUCAUUGAAUUAACCUUUAUACCUCCGGUUAAUUCAUCCUUUCAGAGGACACACAUUUAGUAAAUCCAGACUUCUCCAUCUGGAUAGGCAGCUGCAGUCUAUACCUAGCCCACCAAGUCUUUCCGACCUACAAAAACCCUCCCAGUAUCGCCUCGAAUCUCCACUUGGCAGCAGGCUGGGGGGACCUGGAAACACAAUCCCUUUGUUAACCAUUAUUUGUAUUCUGGGGACUUUAUCAGACUUAGUUUGCAACUGUCUGCACACUUAUUCAGAAGCAAGUCCCACUGAAUUCAGAGAGACUUUCUUCAAAGUAGUCUUACAUUGGAUCAGGCUGCUGUUGAAAUAGUGGAGUUAAUGUUCAGUGUUUAACCACUGCUUGGAAAACCAGGUACAGUGUUUUCCUCCCCAGUCUAACUUCUGAGCUAGAUGCUAUCUUGUUAUUCAAACUCACAGAUAGCAGCGUACACAAGAAAAGGCAAGUUGCAAAGGGGAGGGGGGGAUUGAAUAGCAUGCAUUGCACAAUAAUGUUCCCAUUUUUGUUUUUUCUUGGUCACUGGUUAUGAAAUCCUUCACAUUUGCAUCUGCAAAAAUAUUUCAGUUACAGCUGCUAGCUGCGUAUUUCAGGUAAAAGCGGUAUGCAUAGAUAUCUUUGCAAGUCAGUUGUGAGGCAAUCUCACACAGCCCAGAUGGAACAGCUAAAGCUCAUUGAAGUCAACAGGACAAUUCAUAAAUUUGCAUAGGUGCACCUUCAGGAUGGAAGAUCCGUCAGAUUUAGGAUAUUUGACAGACGUGUAUUAUGUCUCCAAAUAAUAAUAGUUGCUCAGGCUGGAUAGAGGUUAUCCUCUCUGAUGACUCAUUGACUUCUCAAGCAUGGUAUUCUGGAUAUCCCUCUUUAAAUGUAAACAGAACCAUUCAGCCUGCCUUACUCUCAUGAAGAUUUGGGAUGAAUACCUGAUAUUAUUUCAGUUUGAUCCUGUUGAUGUUUCCAUAUCUAAGCUCCAGAACAGUGGUUCUCAAACCUUUUUCUCCAUGGACCACUUGAGAAUUGCUGUGGGUCGGACUUCCGGGGUGGCGCCAUCGGUAAUGGCGGACUCCCUCUGAUCCGGAGGGACUGGCUCCACGGAAAUCGGGUCUGUUCCGCUACGGCGAAGCGGGGACCCUUUAAAAAAUCACAGGCGGGUGAAGCCUGUGACCGUGGGACUCGGCGGGCACCUUUCGCGCCCCCCCAAUUUGCAAAGGAACCCAGUUACGGGCUCCAGAGCGAAGCGGGGCAAGCGGCGCGGUGCUGAGAGUCAACUGCUUCUUCUGUGGAGCGAAGCCGCACAGCCGUUGCCGGAGAGCGCUGCCUUUUUCCUGGGACAAUCUGGCUACAAAAAUAACUAUCCGUGAGUAGGAUAAAUUUGGACAAUUGGACUCUAAACAACGACCCAUGAGUAGAACGGAAAAUUGGACUAAGAAAUUCCCUUUAAUUUGGCACCAAAGUGGGAAGGUCUAAACAGGAAGUCAGCCUUCCGCUUUUUGUAGAAAGAUUAAAGCAAAGACAUGGCAAGCUAGAGUUUAGAAAAUCGUUUGUAAAGGAUCAACUUUCAUCAUCUAAAUCUACUAACCCCCUUUGGAAGCAGGAGAAGAGGGGAGAUUUUUUCUGGACUGUUUAAACCUGCAGAAGAGUGUGUAAAGAAAAGCAAUUUUCCACCGUCUUGAACCUGGGAGCGGGGUGUCAGAACAGACGUUUUCGGAGUUCAUUGACUAUAGCAAACAUUUUUGACAGACAGUUAAAAGAAGAGAAACAUAGUGAUUCCAUUGUUCUCCUUCGCAGUU
Non-coding RNA from Podarcis lilfordi (Lilford's wall lizard), 5809 nucleotides. The record is from the annotation of a GenBank genome assembly. NCBI's taxonomy places the organism in Eukaryota, Metazoa, Chordata, Lepidosauria, Squamata, Lacertidae.